This 374-nucleotide unclassified non-coding RNA is filed under the name soil metagenome. Its description in RNAcentral is "partial contains internal transcribed spacer 2 and large subunit ribosomal RNA". The stretch from base 1 to 120 matches the Rfam family "5.8S ribosomal RNA", at positions 35 to 154 of the family's 154-position model. The record is from RNAcentral.
GAUGAAGAACGCAGCGAAAUGCAAUAAUUAAUGUGAAUUGCAGAAUUCCGUGAAUCAUCGAGUCUUUGAACGCACAUUGCGCCUCAUGGCAUUCCGUGAGCCAUGCCCAUCUCAGCGUUAGAAAAUAUUCUCAAAUUUUAGUUUUGUGCUAAAAUUUGGAUCAUGUCAAAGAAGCUAUUACUAUUAUUGUGAUCGCUCUUUGGAAAUUGAUAGGUCUUUGAGUUGCUACUCAUAGAACGUUAUGAAUCUUUCUUCGUUCUAUUGUAAUUCACUCUGGUAGUCCUAAAACUUGUAUGCCUGUGGCAUAUCUUGUAAUUUGACCUGAGAUUGGGUAGGGAUACCCGCUGAACUUAAGCAUAUCAAUAAGCGGAGGA